Molecule: ribosomal RNA, 791 nt
Filed under: Sphingobacteriaceae bacterium MJ_9_4
Lineage: Bacteria; Pseudomonadati; Bacteroidota; Sphingobacteriia; Sphingobacteriales; Sphingobacteriaceae
Description: bacterial SSU rRNA
Rfam family: Bacterial small subunit ribosomal RNA
Source: RNAcentral
GUCGAGGGGUAUGGGUUGCUUGCAACCCAGAGACCGGCGCACGGGUGCGUAACGCGUAUGCAACCUACCUUGAUCAGGGGGAUAGCCCGGAGAAAUCCGGAUUAACACCGCAUAACAUUGUGAUAUGGCAUCAUAUUAUAAUCAAAUAUUUAUAGGAUCGAGAUGGGCAUGCGUGACAUUAGUUAGUUGGUGAGGUAACGGCUCACCAAGACUGUGAUGUCUAGGGGAUCUGAGAGGAUGACCCCCCACACUGGUACUGAGACACGGACCAGACUCCUACGGGAGGCAGCAGUAAGGAAUAUUGGUCAAUGGGCGCAAGCCUGAACCAGCCAUGCCGCGUGCAGGAAGACGGCCCUACGGGUUGUAAACUGCUUUUGUACCGGAAUAAACCUGCUCUCGUGAGAGCAGCUGAACGUACGGUAAGAAUAAGGAUCGGCUAACUCCGUGCCAGCAGCCGCGGUAAUACGGAGGAUCCAAGCGUUAUCCGGAUUUAUUGGGUUUAAAGGGUGCGUAGGCGGCUUUUUAAGUCAGGGGUGAAAACUUGCGGCUCAACCGUAAGCUUGCCUUUGAUACUGAGGAGCUUGAAUACACUUGAGGUAGGCGGAAUGUGACAAGUAGCGGUGAAAUGCAUAGAUAUGUCACAGAACACCAAUUGCGAAGGCAGCUUACUAAAGUGAGAUUGACGCUGAGGCACGAAAGCGUGGGGAUCAAACAGGAUUAGAUACCCUGGUAGUCCACGCCCUAAACGAUGAAUACUCGAUGUUAGCGAUAUACAGUUAGCGUCUAAGCGA